Molecule: microRNA precursor, 62 nt
Organism: Monodelphis domestica (gray short-tailed opossum)
Lineage: Eukaryota; Metazoa; Chordata; Mammalia; Didelphimorphia; Didelphidae
Source: Ensembl
UAAUCUAGGGGAAGGAGUGAUUGUUAAGAUCAAAUUCAACAUCAUUGCUUCCCUCUACGACU